CGGACGGGUGAGUAACGCGUGGGUAACCUGCCUUGUACUGGGGGACAACAGUUAGAAAUGACUGCUAAUACCGCAUAAGCGCACAGUAUCGCAUGAUACAGUGUGAAAAACUCCGGUGGUACAAGAUGGACCCGCGUCUGAUUAGCUAGUUGGUAAGGUAACGGCUUACCAAGGCGACGAUCAGUAGCCGACCUGAGAGGGUGACCGGCCACAUUGGGACUGAGACACGGCCCAAACUCCUACGGGAGGCAGCAUG
This 256-nucleotide ribosomal RNA is filed under the name uncultured bacterium. RNAcentral's name for it is "partial 16S ribosomal RNA". It matches the Rfam family "Bacterial small subunit ribosomal RNA", at positions 99 to 353 of the family's 1533-position model. The record is from RNAcentral.